GUGAUAAAAAAUUAAAUAAUUUAUAAUAGUGAAUUUAAAUAUAAAACAGUACUUGAUUUUGACGAUGAACCAACAAAAUCCCAAGGCGUAUCUAACGUAAUAGUUAUCGACCUUAUUGACCGCACUUCAAACAUGAAACUGUUUUAUGAAUUUCAACUUGUGUAUUGGUUGUUCUGGCACUCCAGGAGCAAGCUGUAUCCAUAGAGCUCAAAUUAUAAUUAGUAGGGCUCGGAUUUCAAUGCUAAGUACAUACUUUUGUUGGUUGAUCUUAUACAAUGCGUUCCACAAUUCAUAUACUAUAAAGAUUUUGAAAAAUCCAUUUGUUAACUGUAAGUCUAGUCACAAAGAAAAAUGGACUGGAUCACCGAACCAAAAAAGAAACUAUAUUGCACUUGUUCUAUAGUAAGACAUGAUAGAACACUCAUCGCRAUUAGUACUUAAUAGGUUUGAAAAACGAGUAUGUAAACAGUGUUGUU
Diuraphis noxia (Russian wheat aphid) is the source of this 476-nucleotide long non-coding RNA. Lineage: Eukaryota; Metazoa; Arthropoda; Insecta; Hemiptera; Aphididae. The record is from RefSeq and is a predicted model, not a curated record.